UGUGUAUCAGUACAUGGCAUAUCAAUAAGCGGAGGAAAAGAAACUAACAAGGAUUCCCUUAGUAACGGCGAGUGAAGCGGGAAGAGCUCAAAUUUGAAAUCUUCAAGGUUCUACCUUGACGAAUUGUAGUUUAAAGAAGUGUUUUCUGUUGGAGUUUUGGUAAAAGUUCUUUGGAAUAGGACAUCAUAGAGGGUGAGAAUCCCGUAUUUGACCAUUAUUUCCAGCUGUGUGAUACACUUUCAAAGAGUCGGAUUGUUUGGGAAUGCAGUCCAAAAUGGGUGGUAAAUUUCAUCUAAAGCUAAAUAUUGGCGAGAGACCGAUAGCGAACAAGUACCGUGAGGGAAAGAUGAAAAGAACUUUGAAAAGAGAGUUAAACAGUACGUGAAAUUGUCAAAAGGGAAGCGUUUGACACCAGUGUUGUUUUCUCGAAAAUCAAUUAAAAAUGGCGGGAUUUUGUGUUGUAUUGACUUUAUCAGCUUUCUGCACUUUUUUCCUGUCUUUUUUAAUGCACUUUUCGUUUAACAAGUCAACAUCAAUUUCUUUUGUUGUAAAAGAGUCAUUGGAAGGUGGCUUUCAUUUCGGAUGAAAGUGUUUAUAGCCUUUGACUUCUGCAAUCGGAGAGAUUGAGGUCUGCAGCGUAGAUCCUUCUGGAUUAGAUACAUUUGUGCUAAGUUAUAAGUUUUUCAUAGACAACAUGUUGACUAUGAUUAGUCAUGUAGCUUACUCGCUUAUGCUAAUUUUACCUACGCUUAGGAUGUUGACUGAUAUGUAGUCGU
This 776-nucleotide ribosomal RNA is filed under the name uncultured Neocallimastigales. RNAcentral describes it as "partial large subunit ribosomal RNA". It matches the Rfam family "Eukaryotic large subunit ribosomal RNA", at positions 22 to 643 of the family's 3401-position model. Lineage: Eukaryota; Fungi; Neocallimastigomycota; Neocallimastigomycetes; Neocallimastigales. The record is from RNAcentral.